This 253-nucleotide ribosomal RNA is filed under the name uncultured bacterium. RNAcentral describes it as "partial 16S ribosomal RNA". It matches the Rfam family "Bacterial small subunit ribosomal RNA", at positions 524 to 776 of the family's 1533-position model. The record is from RNAcentral.
UACGUAGGAUGCUAGCGUUGUCCGGAUUUACUGGGCGUAAAGCGCGCGCAGGCGGCACUGUAAGUAUGGUGUGAAAUAUCCCUGCUCAACGGGGAGGGUGCACUUUAGACUGCAGAGCUAGAGGACGGUAGAGGGGGGUGGAAUUGCUGGUGUAGCGGUGAAAUGCGUAGAGGUCGGCAGGAACACCCAGGGGGAAACCAGUGGACUGGGCAGGAGCUGACGCUCAGGUGCGAAAGCGUGGGGAGCGAACCGG